CCUACGGGAGGCAGCAGUGAGGAAUAUUGGUCAAUGGACGCAAGCCUGAACCAGCCAAGUAGCGUGCAGGAUGACGGCCCUAUGGGUUGUAAACUUCUUUUAUAUGGGAAUAAAAUGUGUCACGUGUGGGACUUUGUAUGUACCAUAUGAAUAAGGAUCGGCUAAUUCCGUGCCAGCAGCCGCGGUAAUACGGAGGAUCCGAGCGUUAUCCGGAUUUAGUGGGUUUAAAGGGUGCGUAGGCGGUAGGUUAAGUGAGAGGUGAAAUGCCGAGGCUCAACUUCGGGAUUGCCUAGGGAACUGGUCUGCUAGAGAGCAGGUGCGGUAGGCGGAAUGUAUGGUGUAGCGGUGAAAUGCGUAGAGAUCAUGCAGAACACCGAUUGCGAAGGCAGCUUACUGAA
Molecule: ribosomal RNA, 398 nt
Filed under: uncultured bacterium
Lineage: Bacteria
Description: partial 16S ribosomal RNA
Rfam family: Bacterial small subunit ribosomal RNA
Source: RNAcentral